Molecule: long non-coding RNA, 1641 nt
Organism: Parus major (Great Tit)
Lineage: Eukaryota; Metazoa; Chordata; Aves; Passeriformes; Paridae
Source: Ensembl
GAUGGAUCAGGGCAGGCUGGGAUCAUGGAAUCAAUCAUGGAAUCAUGGAAUCAUGGAAUCAUGGAAUCAUGGAAUCAUGGAAUCAUGGAAUGGUUUGGGUUGGAAGGGACCAGAAAGAUCCAAACCCCUGCCAGGGUUUGGGCAGGGACACCUUCCCCUAUCCCAGGCUGCUCCAAGCGCUGUCCAGCCCUGCCCCGGACACUUCCAGGGAUGUGACCCCAUGGCUGCUUCACUCCCACGGUGUCACAUCCCUCCUUUAAUGCACUUCCUGGGCUGUGGGGAGGGGGUCCCGCUGUCCCCACGGUGUCCCCACAGUGUCCCCACAGUGUCCCCGCACUGUCUGGGGCUGCUGCUGUCUCUGCGGAGCUCCGAGGACCCCGUUCAGAGCUCUGAGGUCACUGUUCGGAGCUCCGAGAACACCGUUCAGAGGCCUGAGGUCGCCGUUUGGAGCUCCGAGAACCCCGUUUGGAGCUCCUAGGAUGCCAUUCGGAGCUCUGAGGACGCCGUUCAAAGCUCUGAGGUCACCUUUUGGAGCUCCGAGGACGCCGUUUGGAGCCCUGAGAACACCGUUCGGAGCUCCAGGGAUGCCGUUCGGAGCUACGAGGUCGCUAUUUGGAGCUCCAAGGACACCGUUCAGAGCCCAGAGAACACCAUUCGGAGUUCCGAGGUCACUGUUCGGAGCUCCGAGGACCCCGUUCAGAGCUCUGAGAACGCCGUUUGGAGCUCUGAAGUCACCAUUCAGAGCUCCGAGGUCGCCGUUCAGAGCUCCGAGGUCGCCGUUUGGAGCUCCGAGGUCGCCGUUCGGUGCUCCGAGGUCGCCGUUUGGAGCUUCGAGGUCGCCGUUCGGAGCUCCGAGGACCCCGUGCGGCCGCCGCGGACACGGCGGGGACAGAGGGAGCCACGGCCGGGAUCCGGCUCCUUCUCCCUGUUAUUCCAGAAAUCCUGGGGAGCCGGGCCGAGCUCUCAUUCCUGGGAAUGAACCCGCUGCAGGAUUGAUGGAAGAGGUGACAGCGACUGGGGAAGGACGGAAUCAGAGCCAGGAGCGUCCCGAGCUUUCAGGGAGGGGCCAAGGAGCAGCUCUGAGCCCCCGUGGAGGGAAAAGCAGCUCCAGAUCUCUGCCUCUGGAUGAAUCCCAAGCUCCCAACACCCAACAGGAUCCCUGGGACAUCCCUGGAGCUGCCGAGUGCCGGCUCCCCCUGGCUCGGGGGGGAUUUUCCAUCCGUGCAGAGGGCUCCCAAUGGCGCUGAUGUUUUUCCCUUCUCCCUGAUGGAUGGGGAGGAUCAGAGCAAUCACGGCUGGGAUUUUUCCGAUGGAAAAUGGGAUUCACAUCUGCCUGAGCACCGCCGGCAGCAGGUGAGGAACGCUGGAGCUGCAGGGCCCCAAACGAGGGGCGACCAUUAAACUUUUUGUUGUCUCUGGCAUUUUAAUGACUCCAGGAGCUCUUCCUUUCCCUGUGGGAGGUCUCCCUGCUGCAAGAAAAUCCCUUUGCUGAUGUUUAUUCCUUCCCCAAUCCACAAACAGAGCCCGUGGCCACCGAGGCAGAGCCGCGGCUUUUUCCCGGGAUGUGGAUUUUCAGCGUGGGGAUAACGCUGUGGAAUUUAUUUUAACGUAAUAAAUUGAUUAACACAAAUUUCGGAGCCA